UAACAAAUGGUUUUUAUUAUAUAAAGUGAUCAAACCAGUUUAUAUUUGAUCAUAAAAAAAAAAACCCAUUUUAUAUUUGUUACAUGCAAAGUUGAAGAAAAAAUGGCUCAAACUUUCAAAUUUGCUUAUUUUGUGAUCAUCUUAGUUUCCCUUUUUAUUGUUGUCGUCGUUGGUCAGAGUAAGCUCAAUUUUCAUAUUAUUUUUUGUUUAUUUUAUACACAAUCUUUCACCCAUAUUAGUCAUAUUUUCAUAUUAUUGUACAUUACAGAAGAGUGUGAUACAGAAGCUGAUUGCUAUAAAUUAUACGUGUGUCAUGCUCCUGGAACAAUGAAGUGCUUGCAUGGUGUUUGUGUAAGUCCGGGAGCAGAGUAAGUCUUAUUUCUAUGUUAUUUACCUUCUAGUUUUGUUUGCUUAUCAUAAUGUUUUGAUUCUUUUAAUUUCUCUUAUACUUUCAUAUAUUUCUCCGAUCUUAUAAAAGCAUGUUAAACAUUUU
This 493-nucleotide long non-coding RNA is filed under the name Trifolium pratense (red clover). RNAcentral's name for it is "long non-coding RNA (TPRA_LNC013429)". Lineage: Eukaryota; Viridiplantae; Streptophyta; Magnoliopsida; Fabales; Fabaceae. The record is from RNAcentral.